UUACGGACAUAUCACGUUGAAACAUUGGUUCUCAUACGAACACCGAAAUUAAGCUACGUCGAGCCUGGUCAGUACCUGAAUGGGUUGCCGCUUGGCAAUAUCAGGUGCUGUAA
Molecule: non-coding RNA, 113 nt
Organism: Acanthosepion pharaonis
Lineage: Eukaryota; Metazoa; Mollusca; Cephalopoda; Sepiida; Sepiidae
Source: the annotation of a GenBank genome assembly